GUAACGGCUCACCAAGGCGACGAUGCGUAGCCGACCUGAGAGGGUGAUCGGCCACACUGGGACUGAGACACGGCCCAGACUCCUACGGGAGGCAGCAGUAGGGAAUCUUCCGCAAUGGACGAAAGUCUGACGGAGCAACGCCGCGUGAGUGAUGAAGGUUUCGGAUCGUAAAGCUCUGUUGUUAGGGAAGAACAAGUACCUGUUAAAUAAGCAGGUACCUUGACGGUACCUAACCAGAAAGCCACGGCUAACUACGUGCCAGCAGCCGCGGUAAUACGUAGGUGGCAAGCGUUGUCCGGAAUUAUUGGGCGUAAAGCGCGCGCAGGCGGUUCCUUAAGUCUGAUGUGAAAGCCCACGGCUCAACCGUGGAGGGUCAUUGGAAACUGGGGAACUUGAGUGCAGAAGAGGAGAGCGGAAUUCCACGUGUAGCGGUGAAAUGCGUAGAGAUGUGGAGGAACACCAGUGGCGAAGGCGGCUCUCUGGUCUGUAACUGACGCUGAGGCGCGAAAGCGUGGGGAGCGAACAGGAUUAGAUACCCUGGUAGUCCACGCCGUAAACGAUGAGUGCUAAGUGUUAGAGGGUUUCCGCCCUUUAGUGCUGCAGCAAACGCAUUAAGCACUCCGCCUGGGGAGUACGGUCGCAAGACUGAAACUCAAAUGAAUUGACGG
Molecule: ribosomal RNA, 668 nt
Filed under: Bacillus sp. (in: firmicutes)
Lineage: Bacteria; Bacillati; Bacillota; Bacilli; Caryophanales; Bacillaceae
Description: bacterial SSU rRNA
Rfam family: Bacterial small subunit ribosomal RNA
Source: RNAcentral